UACGAAGGGGGACUAGCGUUGUUCGGAAUCACUGGGCGUAAAGCGCACGUAGGCGGAUUUGUAAGUCAGGGGUGAAAUCCCGGGGCUCAACCUCGGAACUGCCUUUGAUACUGCGAAUCUUGAGUCCGAUAGAGGUGGGUGGAAUUCCUAGUGUAGAGGUGAAAUUCGUAGAUAUUAGGAAGAACACCAGUGGCGAAGGCGGCCCACUGGAUCGGUACUGACGCUGAGGUGCGAAAGCGUGGGGGAGCAAACAGG
RNAcentral lists this ribosomal RNA (255 nucleotides) under uncultured bacterium. RNAcentral's name for it is "partial 16S ribosomal RNA". It matches the Rfam family "Bacterial small subunit ribosomal RNA", at positions 524 to 776 of the family's 1533-position model. The record is from RNAcentral.